Molecule: ribosomal RNA, 492 nt
Filed under: uncultured bacterium
Lineage: Bacteria
Description: partial 16S ribosomal RNA
Rfam family: Bacterial small subunit ribosomal RNA
Source: RNAcentral
AGUGAACGCUGGCGGUAGGCCUAACACAUGCAAGUCGAACGGCAGCACAGUAAGAGCUUGCUCUUACGGGUGGCGAGUGGCGGACGGGUGAGGAAUACAUCGGAAUCUACUUUUUCGUGGGGGAUAACGUAGGGAAACUUACGCUAAUACCGCAUAUGACCUACGGGUGAAAGCAGGGGAUCUUCGGACCUUGCGCGAUUGAAUGAGCCGAUGUCGGAUUAGCUAGUUGGCGGGGUAAAGGCCCACCAAGGCGACGAUCCGUAGCUGGUCUGAGAGGAUGAUCAGCCACACUGGAACUGAGACACGGUCCAGACUCCUACGGGAGGCAGCAGUGGGGAAUAUUGGACAAUGGGCGCAAGCCUGAUCCAGCCAUACCGCGUGGGUGAAGAAGGCCUUCGGGUUGUAAAGCCCUUUUGUUGGGAAAGAAAGGCAGCAGGUUAAUACCCCGCUGUUCUGACGGUACCCAAAGAAUAAGCACCGGCUAACUUCGUG